AGAGUUUGAUCAUGGCUCAGAUUGAACGCUGGCGGCAUGCUUUACACAUGCAAGUCGAACGGUAACGCGGGGGCAACCCUGGCGACGAGUGGCGAACGGGUGAGUAAUACAUCGGAACAUGUCCUGGAGUGGGGGAUAGCUCGGCGAAAGCCGGAUUAAUACCGCAUACGCUCUGAGGAGGAAAGCGGGGGACUCGUAAGGGCCUCGCGCUGCAGGAGUGGCCGAUGUCGGAUUAGCUAGUUGGUGAGGUAAAGGCUCACCAAGGCGACGAUCCGUAGCUGGUCUGAGAGGAUGAUCAGCCACACUGGGACUGAGACACGGCCCAGACUCCUACGGGAGGCAGCAGUGGGGAAUUUUGGACAAUGGGGGCAACCCUGAUCCAGCCAUGCCGCGUGAGUGAAGAAGGCCUUCGGGUUGUAAAGCUCUUUCGGACGGAACGAAAUGGUUACAGUGAAUAACUGUGAUUGAUGACGGUACCGUAAGAAGAAGCACCGGCUAACUACGUGCCAGCAGCCGCGGUAAUACGUAGGGUGCGAGCGUUAAUCGGAAUUACUGGGCGUAAAGCGUGCGCAGGCGGUUCGCCAAGUCAGGUGUGAAAUCCCCGGGCUUAACCUGGGAAUUGCGCUUUGAAACUAGCGGGCUUGAGUGUGGCAGAGGGGGGUGGAAUUCCCGUGUAGCAGUGAAAUGCGUAGAGAUGUGGAGGAACACCGAUGGCGAAGGCAGCCCCCUGGGUCGACACUGACGCUCAUGCACGAAAGCGUGGGGAGCAAACAGGAUUAGAUACCCUAGUAGUCC
This 795-nucleotide ribosomal RNA is filed under the name uncultured bacterium. Its description in RNAcentral is "bacterial SSU rRNA". It matches the Rfam family "Bacterial small subunit ribosomal RNA", at positions 8 to 796 of the family's 1533-position model. The record is from RNAcentral.